This 72-nucleotide transfer RNA is filed under the name Loxodonta africana (African savanna elephant). It matches the Rfam family "tRNA". Rfam says of the family: Transfer RNA (tRNA) molecules are approximately 80 nucleotides in length. Their secondary structure includes four short double-helical elements and three loops (D, anti-codon, and T loops). The record is from Rfam by way of RNAcentral. Lineage: Eukaryota; Metazoa; Chordata; Mammalia; Proboscidea; Elephantidae.
GCAGUGAUGGUUCACUAGUAGAGUUCCCGCUUUACAUGUGGGAGACCAGGGUUCGAUUCCUUGGCCAAUGCU